RNAcentral lists this ribosomal RNA (253 nucleotides) under uncultured bacterium. RNAcentral describes it as "partial 16S ribosomal RNA". It matches the Rfam family "Bacterial small subunit ribosomal RNA", at positions 524 to 776 of the family's 1533-position model. The record is from RNAcentral.
UACGAGGGGUGCAAGCGUUGCUCGGAAUUAUUGGGCGUAAAGGGUAGGUAGGUGGUCUCAUUUGUCUGGGGUGAAAGCCUUGAGCUUAACUCAAGAAGUGCCUCAGAAACGGUGAGACUAGAGUUCUGGAGAGGGUCGUGGAAUUCCCGGUGUAGCGGUGAAAUGCGUAGAGAUGUGGAGGAACACCGAUGGCGAAGGCAGCCCCCUGGGCUAACACUGACGCUCAUGCACGAAAGCGUGGGGAGCAAACAGG